GCAUCCGGCGGGCGCUACGGUCUGGCGCAGUCGACCUUCCAGGUUGGCGGCAAUGCCGGGUCGGCGUUCGGGCCGUUGCUGGCGGCA
RNAcentral lists this transfer RNA (87 nucleotides) under Pseudomonas fluorescens. Its description in RNAcentral is "tRNA-Gly". Lineage: Bacteria; Pseudomonadati; Pseudomonadota; Gammaproteobacteria; Pseudomonadales; Pseudomonadaceae. The record is from RNAcentral.